Molecule: ribosomal RNA, 406 nt
Filed under: uncultured bacterium
Lineage: Bacteria
Description: partial 16S ribosomal RNA
Rfam family: Bacterial small subunit ribosomal RNA
Source: RNAcentral
AUUGAACGCUGGCGGCAGGCCUCACACAUGCAAGUCGAACGAGUGGCGGACGGGUGAGUAAUGUCUGGGAAACUGCCCGAUGGAGGGGGAUAACUACUGGAAACGGUAGCUAAUACCGCAUACCAUCGGAUGUGCCCAGAUGGGAUUAGCUAUUAGGUGGGGUAAUGGCUCACCUAGGCGACGAUCCCUAGCUGGACGGAGCGGAUGACCAGCAACACUGGAACUGAGUCACGGGCCAGACUCCUACGCGAGGCAGCAGUGGGGAAUAUUGCACAAUGGGCGCAAGCCUGAUGCAGCCAUGCCGCGUGUAUGAAGAAGGCCUUCGGGUUGUAAAGUACUUUCAGCAGGGAGGCGUUACCCGCAGAAGAAGCACCGGCUAACUCCGUGCCAGCAACCGCGGUAAUUC